RNAcentral lists this ribosomal RNA (253 nucleotides) under uncultured bacterium. RNAcentral describes it as "partial 16S ribosomal RNA". It matches the Rfam family "Bacterial small subunit ribosomal RNA", at positions 524 to 776 of the family's 1533-position model. The record is from RNAcentral.
UACGUAGGUGGCAAGCGUUGUCCGGAAUGAUUGGGCGUAAAGGGCGCGCAGGCGGCUGUGUAAGUCUGUCCAGAAAGUGCGGGGCUAAACCCCGUGAGAGGAUGGAAACUGGACAGCUGAGAGUGUCGGAGAGGAAAGCGGAAUUCCUAGUGUAGCGGUGAAAUGCGUAGAUAUUAGGAGGAACACCGGUGGCGAAGGCGGCUUUCUGGACGACAACUGACGCUGAGGCGCGAAAGCCAGGGGAGCAAACGGG